This 301-nucleotide ribosomal RNA is filed under the name uncultured bacterium. RNAcentral describes it as "partial 16S ribosomal RNA". It matches the Rfam family "Bacterial small subunit ribosomal RNA", at positions 509 to 807 of the family's 1533-position model. The record is from RNAcentral.
CAGUAGCCACGGUAAUACGGAGGGGGCAAGCGUUGUUCGGAAUUACUGGGCGUAAAGCGCACGUAGGCGGCUUGGUAAGUUAGAGGUGAAAGCCUGGAGCUCAACUCCAGAAUUGCCUUUAAGACUGCCGAGCUAGCAGGUGAGAGAGGUAAGUGGAAUUCCGAGUGUAGAGGUGAAAUUCGUAGAUAUUCGGAAGAACACCAGUGGCGAAGGCGGCUUACUGGCUCAUACUGGACGCUGAGGUGCGAAAGCGUGGGGAGCAAACAGAAUUAGAUACCCCAGUAGUCCCUGUCUCUUAUAC